GGGACUUGUAUCCCGUGCAUUUGCUUCAUUAUUUUAUUCUACAACAUCUUGUCCACAACUAAUGAGAUCAUAAUAAAAACAAGAACAAAAAUUGAACACGCAUUUAACAAGAAAACCAUAGCAAUAGCUCCUUCUGUUUAUUCAAGUAUUGAAUUAUACUAAAAGACGGAGUCUAUUUUCUCAAAUAGAAGCAUACUGAACUGACAUACCCGUCCAAAUAUAUCUUCUUUUUACAUGAUUGAAUUCUCAACUUUUCAAGUUUAAAACUUGUCACCAGCUCAACAUCCCAGUUCCAACCAAAAGGAAAGAACAAAACCCAAAAUUAUUCAUGGCCCAUGAUCCAUAGAUCACAAUUUCACAGUUCGCAGAAUACAUCCAUUUGCAAUUCCAUGGCGUCAUUUGCACACGCAGACAUACAUUUCGCAAUGCAACGAGUGUAAAAAUUACCUCGCUAGGUGGGGCUUUGGACUCUUGUAUAUUCUGUGUGCAAAUAUGGGUUUUGGCCGCCACUUUCUCCUCGUCUUUCCCACAUUGCUG
This 537-nucleotide unclassified non-coding RNA is filed under the name Hevea brasiliensis (rubber tree). Lineage: Eukaryota; Viridiplantae; Streptophyta; Magnoliopsida; Malpighiales; Euphorbiaceae. The record is from RNAcentral.